RNAcentral lists this transfer RNA (77 nucleotides) under TM7 phylum sp. oral taxon 349. Its description in RNAcentral is "tRNA-Thr". It matches the Rfam family "tRNA". From Rfam's summary of the family: Transfer RNA (tRNA) molecules are approximately 80 nucleotides in length. RNAcentral also lists the same sequence under 2 other names. The record is from RNAcentral. Lineage: Bacteria; Candidatus Saccharimonadota.
GCCGCUUUAGCUCAGCUGGUUAGAGUGGCUGUUUUGUAAACAGCAGGUCCUCGGUUCGAUUCCGAGAAGCGGCUCCA